Tachyglossus aculeatus (Australian echidna) is the source of this 138-nucleotide small nucleolar RNA. NCBI's taxonomy places the organism in Eukaryota, Metazoa, Chordata, Mammalia, Monotremata, Tachyglossidae. The record is from RefSeq and is a predicted model, not a curated record.
CUGCUCUCGGGGUCGCACUUGGAGAGUUUCCAGUACUCUACCAAUUGCGACUACAGGAGGGAGAGUCAAGCAGAGGCCUACCCAUUCCAUUCUUAGUUUGGGCAGUGGCUAGCGAGUGGAAGGUAAUCAGCUGCAAGU